RNAcentral lists this ribosomal RNA (252 nucleotides) under uncultured Bacteroidales bacterium. RNAcentral describes it as "partial 16S ribosomal RNA". It matches the Rfam family "Bacterial small subunit ribosomal RNA", at positions 524 to 776 of the family's 1533-position model. Lineage: Bacteria; Pseudomonadati; Bacteroidota; Bacteroidia; Bacteroidales. The record is from RNAcentral.
UACGGAGGAUGCGAGCGUUAUCCGGAUUUAUUGGGUUUAAAGGGUGCGUAGGCGGAAUAUCAAGUCAGCGGUAAAAAUUCGGGGCUCAACCCCGUCGUGCCGUUGAAACUGAUGUUCUUGAGUGGGCGAGAAGUAUGCGGAAUUCGUGGUGUAGCGGUGAAAUGCUUAGAUAUCACGAAGAACUCCGAUUGCGAAGGCAGCCUGCUGGACUGUAACUGACGCUGAUGCUCGAAAGUGUGGGUAUCAAACAGG